RNAcentral lists this ribosomal RNA (460 nucleotides) under uncultured bacterium. Its description in RNAcentral is "partial 16S ribosomal RNA". It matches the Rfam family "Bacterial small subunit ribosomal RNA", at positions 338 to 795 of the family's 1533-position model. The record is from RNAcentral.
CCUACGGGUGGCAGCAGUGAGGAAUAUUGGUCAAUGGACGAGAGUCUGAACCAGCCAAGUAGCGUGAAGGAUGACUGCCCUAUGGGUUGUAAACUUCUUUUAUAUGGGAAUAAAAUGUUCCACGUGUGGGAUUUUGUAUGUACCAUAUGAAUAAGGAUCGGCUAACUCCGUGCCAGCAGCCGCGGUAAUACGGAGGAUCCGAUCGUUAUCCGGAUUUAUUGGGUUUAAAGGGGGCGUAGGUGGGUUGUUAAGUCAGUUGUGAAAGUUCGCGGCUCAACCGUCUAAUUGCAGUUGAAACUGGCAGUCUUGAGUACGGUAGAGGUGGGCGGAAGUCGUGGUGUAGCGGUGAAAUGCUUAGAUAUCACGAAGAACUCCGAUUGCGAAGGCAGUUCACUGGACUGCAACUGACACUGAGGCUCGAAAGUGUGGGUAUCAAACAGGAUUAGAUACCCCAGUAGUC